RNAcentral lists this long non-coding RNA (567 nucleotides) under Oryza brachyantha (malo sina). RNAcentral's name for it is "long non-coding RNA (OBRA_LNC000002)". The record is from RNAcentral. Lineage: Eukaryota; Viridiplantae; Streptophyta; Magnoliopsida; Poales; Poaceae.
UUUAUGUAUGACAUCGUUGACUUUUAGAAUCACAUUUGACCAUUCGUUUUAUUCAAAAUUUAUAUCUAAAUAUGUAAAAUUAUAAUGCAUAAUUAAAGUUUCUAUAAUAAUAAAUCAUAUUAUAAAAAAUAAUUAAUAAUUAUAUAAUUUUUUUAAUAAGAUAAAUGGUCAAACGUAGACCUAAAAGUCAACUGUGUCAUAUAAAAAAAAUGUAAAGGGAAUACUAUGAUAUUCAAAAUCUACCUUAGCAAUGCAGAAGGAUGAAUUUGGUGCAUGCAAAGGAUAUGAAAAUGAUGAGAUUAAAGAGGGAAAGAACACAACUUCUGCUAAACAAAGCAAUAGUAAAUGAGACACAUCUAUUAUAUAUAUAUAAAGUAAUAGGAAAAGAAGGUUUCACGUUUACUCUCACGGGCUAGAAAUUAUCACGUUAAUCGGAGAAAAAGAAAAAAAUAUGAACCAUUAUAUCACGGUGGGUCUAGAUUAUAACGGUGUAGUGUAGAUAAAUCGGAGAAAAAAAAAUGAACCGUUAGAUCACGAUGGGUCCAGAUUAUAACGGUGUAGAUAAAU